This 492-nucleotide ribosomal RNA is filed under the name uncultured bacterium. Its description in RNAcentral is "partial 16S ribosomal RNA". It matches the Rfam family "Bacterial small subunit ribosomal RNA", at positions 29 to 507 of the family's 1533-position model. The record is from RNAcentral.
AGUGAACGCUGGCGGUGGGCCUAACACAUGCAAGUCGAACGGCAGCACAGUAAGAGCUUGCUCUUACGGGUGGCGAGUGGCGGACGGGUGAGGAAUACAUCGGAAUCUACUUUUUCGUGGGGGAUAACGUAGGGAAACUUACGCUAAUACCGCAUACGACCUACGGGUGAAAGCAGGGGAUCUUCGGACCUUGCGCGAUUGAAUGAGCCGAUGUCGGAUUAGCUAGUUGGCGGGGUAAAGGCCCACCAAGGCGACGAUCCGUAGCUGGUCUGAGAGGAUGAUCAGCCACACUGGAACUGAGACACGGUCCAGACUCCUACGGGAGGCAGCAGUGGGGAAUAUUGGACAAUGGGCGCAAGCCUGAUCCAGCCAUACCGCGUGGGUGAAGAAGGCCUUCGGGUUGUAGAGCCCUUUUGUUGGGAAAGAAAAGCAGCAGGUUAAUACCCCGCUGUUCUGACGGUACCCAAAGAAUAAGCACCGGCUAACUUCGUG